GUAGAGAAGUGCUUCUGGGGGAUGCCCUGGGUGCUAGAGGCCGAAGAAGGGCGUACACAAGGUUGCGAGAGCCGCGGGGAGCCACCGAGUGGGCGUUGAUCCGUGGGAACCCGAAUGGGGGAACCCGGCAUACGGGAACGUAGGUCACCGCGGGCCGAGAGGUUUGUGGGGGUAAGCAGGCGAACUGAAACAUCUCAGUAGCCUGAGGAGAGAGAAGCAAGCGCGAGUCCGUGAGUAGUGGCGAGCGAAAGCGGACGCAGCCCAAACCGACUGGACUGAGUGGACGCGCGUCCUAUGUUCAGGCGGGGUAGGACGAUACAAGUGGGGGUGCGCGCGGCAUCCCGCUUUGGAUGGACACAGAGGGGAAGCGUCUGGAAAGGCGUGACGAAGAGGGUGAGAUCCCCGUACUCGAAGGGUGUUGAAUCCGGAGUGAUUUGUAGACGUAAGUACCACUCUGCACGAGAAAUGGAGUGGGAAGCAGGGGGGACCACCCUCCAAGGCGCGAGUACCUCUAGCGACCGAUAGGGAAGUAGUACCGUGAGGGAACGGUGAAAAGGACCCCGGCGAGGGGAGUGAAAGAGAGCCUGAAACCGGAAGCAUACAGUCGGUCGGAGGGAGGCUGAGAGGUCUUCUAACGGCGUGCCUAUUGAAGAAUGAACCGGCGAGUAACGGGGCGUGGCGAGGCUAAGGGAGAGGAAUCCUGGAGUCGAAGCGCAAGCGAGUCUGAAGAGGGCGAGCGUAGCGGGAGUUACGCGGAGUCGCGUCCUGUUGACCCGAAACCGAGUGAGCUACCCGUGGCCAGGGUGAGGCGGGGGGACAACCCCGAGGAGGCCCGAACCGUCCUGCGUUGCAAAGCAGUUGGAAGAGCUGUGGGUAGAGGUGAAAUGCCAAGCGAACUCGGAGAUAGCUGGUUCUCCCCGAAAUGCAUUGAGGUGCAGCCUGCGCGAGGUGGCGUCUAUCAGGUAGCGCACUGUUGAAGCGAGGGGUCGUCGAGACUACCGACCUUCGGCAAACGACGAAUGGGUAGACGGAGACGCGUGGAGUGAGACGGUGGGGGCUAAGCUUCAUCGUCGAGACGGAAACAACCGAGACCGUCGGCUAAGGUCCCAAAGUACGAGCUGAGUGUAGAAGGAAGUGCGCGGGCGGAGACAGCCAGGAGGUUGGCUUAGAAGCAGCCAUCCUUGAAAGAGUGCGUAAUAGCUCACUGGUCGAGUGUGCGCGCGCCGACAAUGAACCGGGGCUAAAGCUCGUCACCGAAGCCGCGGAUUGUGACUGGAAGGUUGCAGUGGUAGGGGAGCGUCCUCGAGGCUGGCGAAGCGAGCGUGGGAACGCUGGUGGAGGCAAGAGGAGUGCGGAUGCCGGUAUGAGUAGCGAUAAGUGAGGUGGGAAGCCUCACCGCCGGAAGCCCAAGGGUUCCGACGCGAGGUACGUCCGCGUCGGGUUAGUCGGGCCUAAGCCGAGGGCGUGGUAGCCGUAGGCGAAGGGGAACGGGUUGAUAGUCCCGUACCGAUCCUGUCUUGCAUGACUGAAGCGGGGGAGCGCAGUGGCAGGUUUUGCGUGGCGAUGGAGAUGCCGCGUCCAAGCGUGUGGGCGGGUCGGGGGUAAAUGACCGACUGAAGCUAAGGCGUGACGGGGACAUUUUUGGGUGACCGAAGAUGGACAGAACUAAGCCUGUGGUGACAAGAAAAGCCGCGUAGGGAGAGGCGGGAUUGACCGUACCGGAGACCGACGCAGGUGGGCAGGUGCGUAGAGCACCGAGGCGAACGGGUGAUCCUCCGUCAAGGAACUCGGCAAAAUGCCCCCGUAACUUCGGGAGAAGGGGGACCAUCGGUAGGUGAAGCGACGCACGUUGUGGAGCCGAGGGUGGGCGCAGAGAGAAGGCCCAGGCGACUGUUUACCAAAAACACAGGUCCCUGCGAAGCUGAAAAGCGCGGUAUAGGGGCUGACACCUGCCCAGUGCCGGAAGGUUAAGGGGAGAUCUGAUGAGGAUUGAGCCGAAGCCCCGGUGAACGGCGGCCGUAACUAUAACGGUCCUAAGGUAGCGAAAUUCCUUGUCGGGUAAGUUCCGACCCGCACGAAUGGUGUAACGAUCUGGGUGCUGUCUCGACGGAGGGCCCGGCGAAAUUGAAGUGGCCGUGAAGAUGCGGCCGACCCGCGAUAGGACAAAAAGACCCCGUGGAGCUUUACUGCAGCUUGGCAUGGGUUUGGGGGGAGCGCUGCGUAGGAUAGGCGGGAGCCGGAGAAGUAUGCCUUUGGGGGUGUAUGGAGGCGACGGUGAAAUACCGCUCUGCGAUUUUCCUGAGUCUAACGGUACGCAAGUACGCGGACAGUGCCUGGUGGGCAGUUUGACUGGGGCGGUCGCCUCCCAAAGAGUAACGGAGGCGCCCAAAGGUUUCCUCGGGCCGGAUGGAAAUCGGCCGGAAGAGUGCAUUGGCAGAAGGAAGCCUGACAGGGAGGGGGACAACCCGACCUGGGGCGAAAGCCGGGCAAAGUGAUCCUACGGCGCCGAGUGGAAGGGCCGUGGCUUAACGGAUAAAAGUUACCCCGGGGAUAACAGGCUUAUCCUACCCAAGAGUUCACAUCGACGGUAGGGUUUGGCACCUCGAUGUCGGCUCGUCGCAUCCUGGGGCUGGAGUUGGUCCCAAGGGUUGGGCUGUUCGCCCAUUAAAGCGGCACGCGAGCUGGGUUCAGAACGUCGUGAGACAGUUCGGUCUCUAUCCAUCGUGGGCGGAGGAGGCUUGAGGGGGGCCGUCCCCAGUACGAGAGGACCGGGGCGGACGGACCGACGGUGUGAGGGUUGUCCUGCCAAGGGCAUGGCCCUGGAGCUGACGUCCGGAACGGAGAAGCGCUGACGGCAUCUAAGCGCGAAGCUGGCCCCAAGAUGAGGCCUCCCAUCGUGAUGAACGAGUAAGGCUGGUUGAAGACGACGACCUAGAUAGGCCGUGAGUGGAAGGCCGGUAACGGUUGGAGCUCUACGGUCCUAAUAGCCGAGGUC
RNAcentral lists this ribosomal RNA (2995 nucleotides) under Chloroflexota bacterium. Its description in RNAcentral is "Chloroflexi bacterium 23S ribosomal RNA". It matches the Rfam family "Bacterial large subunit ribosomal RNA". The record is from RNAcentral. Lineage: Bacteria; Bacillati; Chloroflexota.